Bos taurus (domestic cattle) is the source of this 1233-nucleotide long non-coding RNA. NCBI's taxonomy places the organism in Eukaryota, Metazoa, Chordata, Mammalia, Artiodactyla, Bovidae. The record is from Ensembl.
GAAGGUGUUACUUACCGGUUUGUUUUACCCAACUCGCAGCAAGCCAAAACGGUGAGAUGCUGAGGUUUGCACCAAAGCAAGGAGAUGGGCAAAUAGGUGUCAAAUCAUCUCGGAGAAGCCAAGACAAUCUUUGUACAGCACUGGCAUAACUAAGCUUCAGGCCUCUGCACAUUUUAAAGGUCACAAGUGCGCAUGCCUACGCAUGCCCAGACCAGCGGUCAGGGGUCCUUUCUAGCCCUAAGGCGCGCAGCUCGAACUAGACACAGCUGACUCUUGGCUCAGCCUUAACUACGUGCAGCUGACUCCAAGUUCCUGGAAAACAACUCAGGCAGGCAUCUUAUUGUUCAGGCUGCAUGCUGCCUGGAGGACGUGAAAAUCUUAAAACCUUGUUCAGAGAAGGGCUUCCCUGAUGGCUCAGUGGUAGAGAACCUGCCUGCCAAUGGAGGAGACGCGGGGUUGAUCCCUGGACUGGGAAGAUUCCACACGCCUCACAGCAACUAUGCCUGUGCCCUGCAGCUGCUGAGCCCCGUGCUAGAGCCGACAAGCCACGACUAUUGAAGCCCAAAUGCUCUAGAGCCUGUGCUCUGCAACAAGAGAAGCCACUGCAGUGAGAAGUCUGGGAACCAGAACAGAGUAACCGCCCAGUUACAGCAACUAGAGAAAGCCCACGAGCAAAAAUGAAGACCCAGCUCAACCAUAAAUAAAUAUGUUUUCAUGAAGCUAUUUAAUAAGACAAUUGGGGAGUUAAUGGCAUUGGCUAGAAGUACGACCAUUUCACUCUCAGAGUUUAGGCCUGAAUUACAUGUAAUUUACAAAAAAAUAUUUAAUAAGUGAGUUCAUCAAAAGAUCUUAAUUAAGUCACAUGAAAGGAGAGGUCUGCUCUACUAUGUGUUCCACUAUUACAUGUUCUGUUCUAAGAAGUUUAUUGAGGCCUGAUUAUUUCAACAGCACCUUAGACAGACUACUGUGAUCAUUUCAAAGUUGUCAUAAAUGUAUUGAAAAGAAAGUGAAAGACAAAGUGUUAGUCAGUCGCGUCCAACUCCAGUAUUCUUGCCUGGAGAACCCCAUGGACGGAGGAGCCUGGCUGGCUACAGUCCAUGGGGUCACCAAGAGUUGGAGACAACUGAGCAACUAAUACUAGUGUUAAUAUUUUCACUUCUGUAACACAAUUAACACAAAUAAAUCCCUAAAUUUAUCCUAAACAUCUGUCUUAACAGAUCUGCAUACUUCAAU